GACAGAGGGUGCAAACGUUGUUCGGAUUUACUGGGCGUAAAGCGCGCGUAGGCGGCCUCAUAAGUCCGUUGUGAAAGUCAAAGGCUCAACCUUUGAAAGCCGAUGGAUACUGUGAGGCUAGAGUCCGGAAGAGGCGAGUGGAAUUCCUGGUGUAGCGGUGGAAUGCGCAGAUAUCAGGAGGAACACCAAUAGCGAAGGCAGCUCGCUGGGACGGUACUGACGCUAAGGCGCGAAAGCGUGGGGAGCGAACAGG
Molecule: ribosomal RNA, 253 nt
Filed under: uncultured bacterium
Lineage: Bacteria
Description: partial 16S ribosomal RNA
Rfam family: Bacterial small subunit ribosomal RNA
Source: RNAcentral